Molecule: transfer RNA, 90 nt
Filed under: Anaerolineae bacterium
Lineage: Bacteria; Bacillati; Chloroflexota; Anaerolineae
Description: tRNA-Ser
Rfam family: tRNA
About the family: Transfer RNA (tRNA) molecules are approximately 80 nucleotides in length. Their secondary structure includes four short double-helical elements and three loops (D, anti-codon, and T loops).
Source: RNAcentral
GGGAAGGUGCCAGAGUGGUUAAUCGGGACGCUCUCGAAAAGCGUUGUGGGGGUGACUCCACCGUGGGUUCGAAUCCCACCCUUCCCGCCU